RNAcentral lists this ribosomal RNA (812 nucleotides) under uncultured Mycobacterium sp. RNAcentral describes it as "bacterial SSU rRNA". It matches the Rfam family "Bacterial small subunit ribosomal RNA", at positions 547 to 1356 of the family's 1533-position model. The record is from RNAcentral. Lineage: Bacteria; Bacillati; Actinomycetota; Actinomycetes; Mycobacteriales; Mycobacteriaceae.
GGAAUUACUGGGCGUAAAGAGCUCGUAGGUGGUUUGUCGCGUUGUUCGUGAAAUCUCACGGCUUAACUGUGAGCGUGCGGGCGAUACGGGCAGACUUGAGUACUGCAGGGGAGACUGGAAUUCCUGGUGUAGCGGUGGAAUGCGCAGAUAUCAGGAGGAACACCGGUGGCGAAGGCGGGUCUCUGGGCAGUAACUGACGCUGAGGAGCGAAAGCGUGGGGAGCGAACAGGAUUAGAUACCCUGGUAGUCCACGCCGUAAACGGUGGGUACUAGGUGUGGGUUUCCUUCCUUGGGAUCCGUGCCGUAGCUAACGCAUUAAGUACCCCGCCUGGGGAGUACGGCCGCAAGGCUAAAACUCAAAGAAAUUGACGGGGGCCCGCACAAGCGGCGGAGCAUGUGGAUUAAUUCGAUGCAACGCGAAGAACCUUACCUGGGUUUGACAUGCACAGGACGCCGGCAGAGAUGUCGGUUCCCUUGUGGCCUGUGUGCAGGUGGUGCAUGGCUGUCGUCAGCUCGUGUCGUGAGAUGUUGGGUUAAGUCCCGCAACGAGCGCAACCCUUGUCUCAUGUUGCCAGCGGGUAAUGCCGGGGACUCGUGAGAGACUGCCGGGGUCAACUCGGAGGAAGGUGGGGAUGACGUCAAGUCAUCAUGCCCCUUAUGUCCAGGGCUUCACACAUGCUACAAUGGCCGGUACAAAGGGCUGCGAUGCCGCGAGGUUAAGCGAAUCCUUUUAAAGCCGGUCUCAGUUCGGAUCGGGGUCUGCAACUCGACCCCGUGAAGUCGGAGUCGCUAGUAAUCGCAGAUCAGCAACG